GCCCCAAAAUUGGAAUGGCAAGCUACUGAUUUUGAAUGCAUUUAAUCUUACCUGUAAGAAAACAGGUUCGAUUUAACAUAUUAACAACUUAUGGCUGCGAAAUUUAACACUUCAACACGGGGAUUGAAAAUCCCCGUGUCGGUGGUUCGAUUCCGCCUUCGGGCACCA
Molecule: transfer RNA, 168 nt
Filed under: Pantoea agglomerans
Lineage: Bacteria; Pseudomonadati; Pseudomonadota; Gammaproteobacteria; Enterobacterales; Erwiniaceae
Description: tRNA-Phe
Source: RNAcentral